GGAGAGAUGGCUCAGUGGUUAAGAGCACUGGCUGCUCUUCCAGAGGUCCUGAGUUCAAUUCUCAGCCACCUCA
This 73-nucleotide transfer RNA is filed under the name Neotoma lepida (desert woodrat). It matches the Rfam family "tRNA". Rfam says of the family: Transfer RNA (tRNA) molecules are approximately 80 nucleotides in length. Their secondary structure includes four short double-helical elements and three loops (D, anti-codon, and T loops). Lineage: Eukaryota; Metazoa; Chordata; Mammalia; Rodentia; Cricetidae. The record is from Rfam by way of RNAcentral.